Non-coding RNA from Picea glauca (white spruce), 124 nucleotides. The record is from Rfam. Lineage: Eukaryota; Viridiplantae; Streptophyta; Pinopsida; Pinales; Pinaceae.
UCAUAUGUACAUGCCUAUAGGGUUAAUGCAUCAGAUCCCAUUAGAACUUUGUAGCUAAGCGUGCUUGGAAUAGAGUAGUACUAGGAUGGGUGAUCUCCUUGGAAGUCCUAGUGUUUUACAUUCC